This is an unclassified non-coding RNA of Pongo abelii (Sumatran orangutan), 148 nucleotides long. It matches the Rfam family "Metazoan signal recognition particle RNA". From Rfam's summary of the family: The signal recognition particle (SRP) is a universally conserved ribonucleoprotein. It is involved in the co-translational targeting of proteins to membranes. Lineage: Eukaryota; Metazoa; Chordata; Mammalia; Primates; Hominidae. The record is from Ensembl.
GCUGGGUGUGGUGAUGCACACCUGUAGUCUCAGCUACUUGGGAGGCUGAGGUAGGAGGAUAACUUGAGCCCAGGAGGUGGAGGUUGCAGUGAGCCAAGAUCAGGCCACUGCACUCCAGCCUGGGCAACAGAGUGAGACUCCGUCUCAA